RNAcentral lists this ribosomal RNA (406 nucleotides) under uncultured bacterium. RNAcentral's name for it is "bacterial SSU rRNA". It matches the Rfam family "Bacterial small subunit ribosomal RNA", at positions 355 to 776 of the family's 1533-position model. The record is from RNAcentral.
UGGGGAAUAUUGGACAAUGGGGGGAACCCUGAUCCAGCGACGCCGCGUGAGUGAAGAAGUAUUUCGGUAUGUAAAGCUCUAUCAGCAGGGAAGAAGGAAAGACGGUACCUGACUAAGAAGCCCCGGCUAACUACGUGCCAGCAGCCGCGGUAAUACGUAGGGGGCAAGCGUUAUCCGGAUUUACUGGGUGUAAAGGGAGCGUAGGCGGUAAUGCAAGUCUGGAGUGAAAUGCCGGGGCCCAACCCCGGAACUGCUCUGGAAACUGUGAUACUGGAGUGCAGGAGAGGUAAGCGGAAUUCCUGGUGUAGCGGUGAAAUGCGUAGAUAUCAGGAGGAACACCGGUGGCGAAGGCGGCUUACUGGACUGUAACUGACGUUGAGGCUCGAAAGCGUGGGGAGCAAACAGG